GUGUAGCCGCCGAACCUUGUUGGAGGUUCUGGGGCGCAGAACCGCUACUGCUGCUUCGGUCUCUCCUUGGGAAAAAAUAAAAUUUGAACCUUUUGGAGCUGUGUGCUAAAUCUUCAGUGGGACAAUGGGUUCAGACAAAAGAGUGAGUAGAACAGAGCGUAGUGGAAGAUACGGUUCCAUCAUAGACAGGGAUGACCGUGAUGAGCGUGAAUCCCGAAGCAGGCGGAGGGACUCAGAUUACAAAAGAUCUAGUGAUGAUCGGAGGGGUGAUAGAUAUGAUGACUACCGAGACUAUGACAGUCCAGAGAGAGAGCGUGAAAGAAGGAACAGUGACCGAUCCGAAGAUGGCUACCAUUCAGAUGGUGACUAUGGUGAGCACGACUAUAGGCAUGACAUCAGUGACGAGAGGGAGAGCAAGACCAUCAUGCUGCGCGGCCUUCCCAUCACCAUCACAGAGAGCGAUAUUCGAGAAAUGAUGGAGUCCUUCGAAGGCCCUCAGCCUGCGGAUGUGAGGCUGAUGAAGAGGAAAACAGAAAAAGUUGGUGAUUCAAGGAAAGCACAUUGCAAUGCAUUAUAGCAAUCCCAGACCUAAGUUUGAAGAUUGGCUUUGUAACAAGUGCUGCCUUAACAAUUUCAGGAAAAGACUAAAAUGCUUCCGAUGUGGAGCAGACAAGUUUGACUCUGAACAGGAAGUGCCUCCUGGAACCACAGAGUCGGUUCAGUCUGUGGAUUACUACUGUGAUACGAUCAUUCUUCGGAACAUAGCUCCGCACACUGUGGUGGAUUCCAUCAUGACAGCACUGUCUCCUUACGCGUCUUUAGCUGUCAAUAACAUCCGCCUCAUAAAAGACAAACAGACCCAGCAGAACAGAGGCUUCGCAUUUGUGCAGCUGUCCUCUGCAAUGGAUGCUUCUCAGCUGCUUCAGAUAUUACAGAGUCUCCAUCCUCCUUUGAAAAUUGAUGGCAAAACUAUUGGGGUUGAUUUUGCAAAAAGUGCCAGAAAGUGAGUGGCUUCAUUGUCCUUAUUUCAAACUACUGCAUAUGCACAUUUGUACAGUGUGCUAACUGAACGCCAAGCCUGUGCCCCAAGUAUGUUGAGACACUGUGAUCCUCCCUGAUUGCCAAGGCCAGGAGGGACACGUUUGUCUUCUUUUAGUGAUUAUUCCCUACUGUCCUGUGUAACCAGUUGAUGAAGUUGCCUGAAAUGGUUUCAGAUCAGGAGAAAGAGACUUGGUCCUCUCAGAUGGUAACCGCGUCAGCGCUUUCUCUGUAGCUAGUACGGCUAUUGCUGCUGCUCAGUGGUCAUCCACCCAGUCUCAAAGUGGUGAAGGAGGCAGUGUUGACUACAGUUAUCUGCAACCAGGUCAAGAUGGCUAUGCCCAAUAUGCUCAGUAUUCACAGGAUUAUCAGCAGUUUUAUCAACAACAAGCUGGAGGAUUGGAAUCUGAUGCAUCAUCUGCAUCAGGCACAGCAGUGACCACCACCUCAGCGGCUGUAGUGUCCCAGAGUCCUCAGCUGUAUAAUCAAACCUCCAAUCCACCUGGCUCUCCGACUGAGGAAGCACAGCCUAGCACUAGCACAAGUACACAGGCCCCAGCCGCUUCCCCUACUGGUGUAGUUCCUGGUACCAAAUAUGCAGUACCUGACACGUCCACUUACCAGUAUGAUGAAUCUUCAGGAUAUUACUAUGAUCCGACAACAGGGCUCUAUUAUGACCCCAACUCGCAAUACUACUAUAAUUCCUUGACCCAGCAGUACCUUUACUGGGAUGGGGAAAAAGAGACCUACGUGCCAGCUGCAGAGUCUAGCUCCCACCAGCAGUCGGGCCUGCCUCCUGCAAAAGAGGGGAAAGAG
Molecule: long non-coding RNA, 1854 nt
Filed under: Homo sapiens (human)
Lineage: Eukaryota; Metazoa; Chordata; Mammalia; Primates; Hominidae
Description: long non-coding RNA NONHSAT193869.1
Source: RNAcentral